This 753-nucleotide long non-coding RNA is filed under the name Salmo salar (Atlantic salmon). RNAcentral's name for it is "lncRNA (ENSSSAG00000110105.1)". The record is from RNAcentral. Lineage: Eukaryota; Metazoa; Chordata; Actinopteri; Salmoniformes; Salmonidae.
CCCCCCCCUCCUCCCUCUCUGCGGAUGACUUCGUCAACCAUUUUGAAAAGAAGGUUGACGACAUCCGAUCCUCGUUUGCUAAGUCAAACGACACUGCUGGUCCUGCUCACACUGCCCUACCCUGUGCUUUGACCUCUUUCUCCCCUCUCUCUCCAGAUGAACUCUCGCAUCUUGUGACGGCCGGCCGCCCAACAACCUGCCCACUUGACCCUAUCCCCUCCUCUCUUCUCCAGACCAUUUCCGGAGACCUUCUCCCCUACCUCACCUCGCUCAUCAACGCAUCCUUGACCGCUGGCUACGUCCCUUCCGUCUUCAAGAGAGCGAGAGUUGCACCCCUUCUGAAAAAAACCUACACUCGAUCCCUCCGAUGUCAACAACUACAGACCUAUCUGCUGCCUUUGAUACCGUGAACCAUCAGAUCCUCCUCUCCACCCUCUCCGAGCUGGGCAUCUCCGGCGCGGCCCACGCUUGGAUUGCGUCCUACCUGACAGGUCGCUCCUACCAGGUGGCGAAUCGCAUCUCUGCAUGUCUGGCAGACAUAUCAGUGUGGAUGACGGAUCACCACCUCAAGCUGAACCUCGGCAAGACGGAGCUGCUCUUCCUCCCGGGGAAGGACUGCCCGUUCCAUGAUCUCGCCAUCACGGUUGACAACUCCCUUGUGUCCUCCUCCCAGAGUGCUAAGAGCCUUGGCGUGACCCUGGACAACACCCUGUCGUUCUCCACCAACAUCAAGGCGGUGACCCGAUCCUGUAG